GCCGACUGGUGGGCCCCACUCGCUCCCUCCCUCGCGCUUGCCCCCUUCUGUCCCCAACCGCAAGCGCUCCUCCGCUGGGCCCCCUAUCCCGGCGUCUGCAUCUCACUCCGGACCGGCGGAGGCAGGCAGAUGCCGGAGUAGAGGAGGUCGUCGUCGGAGCGAACCUCGAGCCGAGCAAGUACCCCGCCACCGCGUUCCCCGCCUCCCGACGCCCUCCCCUCGCUCCGCCUCGCUGCCCGCCCCCUCGCGCAAGGCCGCCGUCCCACGUCUGCAGGCCCACCGCGCGCCUCGCUUCGCCUCCACGCCACCAUUCCUGCAGCGCCCGGAGAGCCGCCCGUCGACGCCUCGGGACGCAGCCGCCAUUCCCCCUGCAUCCAAAUCGCCGGUGGCCCUCCUUGGGUCGAGGCCACUGGCCCAGCCGCGUCCGGAUCGGCGCGCGGCCCGCCUCGGCUCAACGCCGCCAUCCCAGCCGCGUCAGGAGCUCUGCGCGGCCCUCCUCGGGCUCGACGUCGCGCGGGACAACGCCAUCCCCCGCGCGCACGACUCCGGUCCCUCGGCCGCCCGCCGGCGCCAUGCUGGAGGGCCCAUCCAUUCGCCCUCCAUACGCACUGGUGAGAUCAGAGAAAUAAACAGUGGUGGGGUUGAGGUCUUGUUCUUCGACCGCCAGCGAGUGUCCACAAGAAUGUCCUCAUCUGCUUCCAGUCCAAUCCCCAUCCUCAUGUCAGUACUCGUGGACCGUUGGCAUCGCAAAGAAGAGGUGGUAUGGCAGAUAACGGCAGGGCAACCACUCCCUCUGCAGCGAUGCACGCAACCUCCACGCUUCUGUCUCCAGUCGUCGGCCUUGACUUCACUGGUGAGCAAGUCUACCUAGAUGAUUUGCUGAGUUCUCGCAUUUUAGCUCAAGAAUUCAUCAGUGCUGAUAGACUCAUGAAGCGGUUUUGUCAGGUUUUAUUGAGGUCCAUAUAGAUUUUGUUGGCCUGGUACUACCUAUCAAAGAUAUUGUGAAAGGGAAGGUGAAGGUAUAAUGCUAAUAUUAUAAUUAAAAGGAAAAAUAGAUAUAUAGCAGAUUAUUAUUUUCUCAUGUCUAAAAUCAUGGCUAUUAUGCUGUCUAACAAUUUAACUUCCAGUUUAACCACCAAAGAGUCGCGAAUGGCUGGAUUUCCUUUAGUAUCAGAGUAGCUGUCAUUGUGCCUAAUAGGUAACAGCACACAAUUCUUCCCAAUACAUGACCAGAAAAUAAGUAAAUGUUGUAAAGGGUCUUGACCCUCUUCAUGAGUUAUGUUAUUCCGAGCAUGCUAUAUUGCCAUGUCCACAUUGAGCUCACAGAUUAGAAGGAAGAGUCGUUGGAUCCACGCUCUGUAAUUGUUCAACAUCCAGCAACUCCCAACGCUGACUCAUGACAUCCCUCAGUGUCCUUGAUUGCAGAUACAUGAUCACCGCGUGAGUGACCAUCUCAUCUUCAACUCCACAAAUUUCACAUGCACCAAAUCCAAUUGGAGCCAUGGAUCUUUUCCUUUUGUAGCCAGUCCAUCAUCGGACUGUUUCCACCAAAAAAAUUGACCUUUUUGUGGGACUUGUAUAUUAUCUAAAACACUCUCCAUAUUGGACAAUCCUCUCCCUUAUAAUGAAGCUUUUGGUUCAGUUUGUCAUGAUAUGCACUUAUGCUUUCUGCAGGCCAUAACAUUCUCAGGAGUUCUUAUCUAGAAAGAUAUAAUUCCCUUCUUGUGUAAAGAAAUGAGUAGCAUUCUGCAGGCAAGAAGAUGCUUAGAAGUUCUUAUCCGAUAUUCAAAAGCUUGCUAUGCAGCUAACCUUGGUUUCCCCGAGUUUAACUUGUGUUAGCACAACCCUAUUUUUUAUUAUCAUUUGCCUUAAGCUCUUUCUUUAGUUAUUGCCUGAAAAUGUGGAAACAGAGCUACAUGAGACAAUUGUAAUAUCCGUUGGUACAGAAGUUAUUUAUAUUGGCCUGUUGAACAUCAGUGAACUGUAUGACCAAUCGAAGUACAGAGCAUGGCUCUGAGUCUCUGACUAUCUGUCAAGUAGAUUGAAUACCAUUGUUUCUAAUUUGUCCAGAAACUAAUUGCUUCCUUAUCGAUGUCCUUGGUCCUCUCAUGUUUUGUUUAUAAAUCAUAGGAUUCUGGCAGAAUCAUAGGAUUCUGGCAGGUAAAAUUGAGUUGAACCCGACUGAAGUUGAUGAUAUUGUAGUUGAAACUGCCGUAGCUCGUGAGAGAAACUGUUCAGUUUGCACAGAGAUCAUUUCGGUUAUGUAAUAUUUUCCCAUUGCAUUUACUUUUUUCCUGGGACCAGCAUUUUGUUAACACAGCAUGUAUGUGUGUCAAAUCCGUUCUACUACUUCCCAAUGAGAGUGUUACAGUAUGUCAAAAAUGAAAAAUGUUCAGGCUUUGUUUCCCUGCAACUUGAUUAGUUUUGUUCUUGUAAGACUAAACAUUGUGCCUUUCUUUUAUAUGGAUAUCUUAGCUGUCUGCUCAGCUAUUAGAUAUGAUGGGUGUAACGAACUGAACUGAAGAUGGUUUCUCAUGGCUCAUGGGUUUCUUGAAGAUUCACAUGUCCUAAUCUGCACCACUUGAAAUAUGACUCCUGGAAUCCUGGUUGUGAGUAUGGUAAGAUAGACAAUCUGCAUUUGUCCAGUGUCAGCAUUGUCAUCAGGAAUGGUGUAGAAGGCGAAGACUAAAUGGAAGGGCCAGAAGGCGAAGGAGGUGGAGGGUUCUGGCUUCAAGCUUUGGUACAUGGGGAUAACUUCGGCAUUGUCAUCAGGGCGCAUGCAGUGUAUUCAGCACUGGUUGACAAGGUCUACUGUUGGGCAAAUUUCAGGCAAAUCAGACAAUACAAUAUUUGAAAUUUGGAAGGAGAAGGAGAUAUAGCAGAUGGAAUAUCAAGACCCAGGUCACCAAAACUCAUAAUUUCAGUUUCAACAUAUUGGAAAGUUCGUAGGUUUUCAGAACAAUACAAGCAUGUUUGAAAAACUGCUGUUAUUUAAGAUCAUCACUAUUUUUUCUCUCUUUCAUCCUGCUUACCUAGGAAUGGUAUGUAUUUCUUGGCAAUUGGAAGUGUAAGAAAACUUCAAGAGAGGAAACGUGCUACUGCUUCCUCAUCAGGUAUCCUUGCAGUAAAUUCAUUAAACUAAAUGGCUCUUGCAAUGCAGCAUACAAAUAAUAUAUGCUAUGAAUGCCAACACAUACACUCAGUUUAUUCAGCACUAUAAUAGGUCUCAAGGUAGUAAAAGAUGAAAUUACUCAAUCUGUACUGCUUGUGCUACUAGCAGCUUCUGUGUCCUGAAUGCAGCUAAUCAUAUCGGAGAGGUGAAGGUGUACCUAACUUUAUUUCUUGGUGCUGAGAUGGCUGCUAGCUUGCUAAUGAGGUUUUCUUGAAAUAGGGGAUGCUAGAGAUCUAAUGGAGAGAGAGAGAGAGAGAGGAUGUUCCAUACAUGGUUGACGCCGUGGUCGUCCACGUCAUGAUUUAGAGUUGUAAACUUGCAUCAACAACAUGAGUUGUGCAGCUACCAUGGAUCCCCGUUUGAGUGAGUGGACGCGCUCCGAAGCCGCAUCCUGUGCUAACAAGGAUGGCAGCGCGUGGCAAUUUCUGUGCUCUAAGGUUGUGAAGACUUCCUAACUCAUUACAAGUGGACUUAUGGCAGCCAUUGAAUCAACUAUGAUGCAAUUCUAAUUUUUUACUGAUAUUUCUUGCUUCUGAAAUAAAAGAAAUCUAGAUUCAAUAAAAGUUAAGUAUUGCAACAUUUUGACUUCUUUGGCAACUAUUGUGUGUUGUAUGGAUAUAAAACAUGUACUCAAUAGUAAUAUUUUAACAUGUACGUGCCGCACGUGCACUUUACUAGUUAAUGAAAAUAUGGAAUGUGUUGCUACUGAAAUCAUUAUGUAGUGCAAUGUUAUAUACACUUUUGGUUCCAUCUUC
This is an RNA transcript of Panicum hallii, 3927 nucleotides long. RefSeq lists it as uncharacterized. Lineage: Eukaryota; Viridiplantae; Streptophyta; Magnoliopsida; Poales; Poaceae. The transcript has 9 exons. The record is from RefSeq and is a predicted model, not a curated record.